AAAACCACAGCAGCGCCACCCAACACCAAACACUGUCCAUCUACAACUUCAGCUCUUUCCACGGCAUGUGAGAGGCCGACGGCGUGAUGUAACCAGCUUCUCAUCGAAAGACAAGAAGACCAUCCACCUGAAGCUAAACACACUUGUCCUGCACAUCAUCCUGACCUGAACCUGAUUAAAUCUCCAGCCGUCAGUAUGGAUCUGAUCAAUAACCGAGGACUAAAUCUGCUGCUCAACUUCCUGCUCAUUUUUGUGGCUCUACUGCUCAUGCUUAUUCUGGUCAAGCUCAUGUGACCAAAAAAAAAUGGUUACAAGUAACAAUGUACAAUAUAUCGGUGGCCAUAAUGAUAUCAGCCAAUAAUGCUAUUUUUUUAUCGUUAUCGUUCUGAUAACAUUAUUAGGCUGAUCUUAAGCCGAGAAAUGAUGUAUUAUUUCUGCUGGUUGAACCACUUCACGAGAUUGCUGCUUGACACUUUUUUAUUCAUUUGAUCACAUUUAAAUUGACACUUUUAUAUUUAUUUUUUAUUUUACUUGGUUUUGGUGACCAUAAGGAUAUCGGCCAAUAAUGAUAUUUUUUAUGUUAUCGUUCUGAUAACAUUAUUAGGCUGAUCUUUAAGCCGAUAAAUGAUGUAUUAUUUCUGCUGGUGGAACCACUUCACGUGCUUGCUGCUUGA
Molecule: long non-coding RNA, 674 nt
Filed under: Danio rerio (zebrafish)
Lineage: Eukaryota; Metazoa; Chordata; Actinopteri; Cypriniformes; Danionidae
Description: phospholamban 1 (ENSDARG00000069404.7)
Source: RNAcentral